UGCCAGCAGCCGCGGUAAUACGGAGGGUGCAAACGUUGCUCGGAAUCAUUGGGCGUAAAGCGCACGUAGGCGGUUUCGUAAGUCGGAUGUGAAAGCCCUAGGCUUAACCAAGGAAGUGCAUUCGAAACUGUGAGACUUGAGUAUGGGAGAGGGUUGCAGAAUUCUCGGUGUAGAGGUGAAAUUCGUAGAUAUCGGGAGGAAUACCAGUGGCGAAGGCGGCAACCUGGACCAAUACUGACGCUGAGGUGCGAAAGCGUGGGGAGCAAACAGGAUUAGAUA
This 279-nucleotide ribosomal RNA is filed under the name uncultured bacterium. RNAcentral's name for it is "partial 16S ribosomal RNA". It matches the Rfam family "Bacterial small subunit ribosomal RNA", at positions 506 to 784 of the family's 1533-position model. The record is from RNAcentral.